Molecule: long non-coding RNA, 457 nt
Filed under: Glycine max (soybean)
Lineage: Eukaryota; Viridiplantae; Streptophyta; Magnoliopsida; Fabales; Fabaceae
Description: long non-coding RNA (GMAX_LNC001554)
Source: RNAcentral
ACAGCCAAACGACUAAAAUUGGUAGGUGUCAAUAUUCCAUGAUGAAAGAUUCUCUUUACAUCAUAUGUGUGCAACAGCGUGAUGGUACUCAACUGUGAGCCCAAUACUUUUAUUACACUAUAGAUACAAGAAAAACGGACUUUAUACCUUUAUCAAACAACAGUUAAUGAUUUUGCAGCACAGAAAAAGUACACUUUGUGCUCUAAUCACACCACUAAACAACAACAAAAUUAGCUAAUCUCCAGCAUGAUGGAAAAAUAUUGUAAAGGCUAAUUCUAUUUCUGGUUUUCUUUUGGUGUGAACCGCACAUAUCCUUCCAGGCAAAAUAAUUCUACUCAAAUUAGAUAAGAUAUAGCAUGGACUUGACCCAUUUUGAGCCUCACCACGUGGCCUGGGUACACCGAAACUAUUUAACUAUUUUUCUCGUCAAUUUUUGUUAUAUAACACAUUACACGCC